RNAcentral lists this ribosomal RNA (1038 nucleotides) under Staphylococcus haemolyticus. Its description in RNAcentral is "bacterial SSU rRNA". It matches the Rfam family "Bacterial small subunit ribosomal RNA", at positions 43 to 1079 of the family's 1533-position model. The record is from RNAcentral. Lineage: Bacteria; Bacillati; Bacillota; Bacilli; Caryophanales; Staphylococcaceae.
CCCGGUGCUAUACAUGCAGUCGAGCGAACAGAUAAGGAGCUUGCUCCUUUGACGUUAGCGGCGGACGGGUGAGUAACACGUGGGUAACCUACCUGUAGACUGGUAUAACUCCGGGAAACCGCCUAUAAUGCCGGAUAACAUAUAGAACCGCAUGGUUCUAUAGUGAAAGAUGGUUUUGCUAUCACUUAUAGAUGGACCCGCGCCGUAUUAGCUAGUUGGUAAGGUAAUGGCUUACCAAGGCGACGAUACGUAGCCGACCUGAGAGGGUGAUCGGCCACACUGGAACUGAGACACGGUCCAGACUCCUACGGGAGGCAGCAGUAGGGAAUCUUCCGCAAUGUGCGAAAGCCUGACGGAGCAACGCCGCGUGAGUGAUGAAGGUUUCGGCUCGUAAAACUCUGUUAUUAGGGAAGAACAUAUGUGUAAGUAACUGUGCACAUCUUGACGGUACCUAAUCAGAUAGCCACGGCUAACUACGUGCCAGCAGCCGCGGUAAUACGUAGGUGGCAGGCGUUAUCCGGUAAUUAUUGGGCGUAAAGCGCGCGUAGGCGUUUCUUAAGUCUGAUGUGAAAGCCACGCUCAGCCGUGUAGUUCAUUGUAACUGGAACUUGAGUGCAGAAGAGGAAGUGUAUUCCUGUGUAGCGGUGAAUGCGCAGAGAUAUGAGAACUCAGUGCGUAGCGACUUUGCUGGACUGUACUGAGCUGAUGUGCGAAGCGCGCGAUCUUCCAGAUUAGAUACCCUGAUAGUCCACGCAGUAGACGUUGAGUGCUAAUGUGCUAGGGGGUUCCCGCCCCAUUAGUGCUGCAACUACGCAUUCAGCACUUCCCGCUUGGGGAGUCCGACUGCAAGUUAAACUCAAAGGAAUUGACGGGGACCCGCACAAGCGGUGGAGCAUGUGGUUUAAUUCGAAGCAACGCGAAGAACCUUACCAAAUCUUGACAUCCUUUGACCACUCUAGAGAUAGAGCUUUUCCCCUUCGGGGGACAAAGUGACAGGUGGUGCAUGGUUGUCGUCAGCUCGUGUCGUGAGAUGCCGUG